Molecule: RNase P RNA, 388 nt
Filed under: Devosia sp.
Lineage: Bacteria; Pseudomonadati; Pseudomonadota; Alphaproteobacteria; Hyphomicrobiales; Devosiaceae
Description: RNase P RNA component class A
Rfam family: Bacterial RNase P class A
About the family: Ribonuclease P (RNase P) is a ubiquitous endoribonuclease, found in archaea, bacteria and eukarya as well as chloroplasts and mitochondria. Its best characterised activity is the generation of mature 5'-ends of tRNAs by cleaving the 5'-leader elements of precursor-tRNAs.
Source: RNAcentral
CCAGUUGACCGGGUGGCCGCUCUGCACGAGGUGACUUGUGCGGGGAGGAAAGUCCGGGCUCCAUCGAAAUACGGUGCCGGCUAACGGCCGGCGGGGGCGACCCCAGGGAAAGUGCCACAGAGAGCAGACCGCCCGUCUUCGGAUGGGUAAGGGUGAAAGGGUGCGGUAAGAGCGCACCGCGGACCUGGCAACAGGGACGGCACGGCAAACCCCACCGGGAGCAAGACCAAAUAGGGAUGACGCGGCGCAAGCCGGCCGGUUUUCGAGGCCAGUCAUCCGGGUUGGUUGCUCAAGGCUCCUGGCAACAGGUGUCUCAGAGGAAUGGCCACCACGUGCGGCGAGCGAUCGUCGUGCCCUACAGAACCCGGCUUACAGGUCAACUGGCGAC